GGGGGGGGGGGGGGGGGGGGGGGGGGGGGGGGGGGGGGGGGGGGGGGGGGGGGGGGGGGGGGGGUGCUGCCUCCCCCGGGGGUUCCGGGGGGGGCUUUAGGGGGUCACACUCGCAGCCGGCACCCAGCGCUGCCGGAGCAGAAAGCGCUCGGGGUUUGAUGCUCCUGCGCUGGAGCUGCUGCGGGAAAACAGCAACAACAAAAAAAAAAAACCUCCCCGCAAAAAAAACCUCCCCGCGUGUCGGGAAGCGGAGCAGGAGUGGCCGCAGGUGGGGCUGUGCGAGGGUGUCCUGUCCUCCCCGACAGCUCACGGAGUUCUCCCCAAACUUAUUAUUGCAGCGACGUCGGCGGGGACCGCGCUGGUUUGAAGAUUUGGGAGCGGGCGGAGAGUUUGGGAAGCGGGACGGACUCGCGGGAUUCCUGAGGAUUGCGGGGACAGGAGCGGGGACUUCAGGAAAAGCAGAAAUACAAUGAGUGCAGUGACUCAAAGCCGUGCAGGUUGUCAGCACUCAGAAGACAUUAAUGUCCUCAGAGAGGAGUAACGCACAGAGCUGUGGGCAGCCCCCAAACCCUGCCUUAGAUUUAUGGCCUGAGACUCGGGGUGGAAUGGGGCAUUCCAGGAAAUCCCUGGAUCACGCUUGGCCUCCCAAGCAUUAGGAGUGAAUCCUGCUGGGACCUGACUUGAAUCUGCACGAGGUGAGGAUCAGACCUCGGCUCUGGUGCUGUUUUGUGCCCCAAUUCCCCGUUCUUAAUUUCGGAUGAACGAGCAGAACUGGCUCUUGGGUGGGAUUUGAACUGGGUGUGACCAAACUCCUGGACCUUGUGAGUGAUUUUAUCCCCGAUGCUGAUUUUGUGCCUUUUCCACCAGUCUGGGAAUGUUGGGCAGGAUCUCACCUUAACUGGACCUUGUGAGUGAUUUUAUCCCCGAUGCUGAUUUUGUGCCUUUUCCACCAGUCUGGGAAUGUUGGGCAGGAUCUGCCACUGCUCCAGGGUGUUUUCCUGUUCUUUCCCCUCUCCUGGGGCUCUGGGGUCACUUCAGCCUGGAGAGGAGAUACCCAAAGUGGAUUUUGGCCAUGGCCAGGACCUGAGCUCUCCCUGUGACCACCUCGCUCUGGAUUCUGCCAGAGUUACCAAAUUCUCCCUUCAGAGCUGCAGAGAGAAUAAAGGAUUGUUGUGGUCACGGGGCCAGCGCUUCCUCGGAGGUCGCUGAUAAAUGCAGAGAGCACAAAGGGACAAGGAGGUGACAGUGGCAGGGCUGCGGUGCCAGGUACCGGCUGUGCGGGGGAGGGCUCUGCGUGCCCUGUGUUUGGGAAUGUCUGUCACAAACAGUCCCGGUGCUUUUGGGAAUGGUGUGACAAUCUAUUCCAGUGGAUUUGGGAACACUGUUGACAAU
RNAcentral lists this long non-coding RNA (1392 nucleotides) under Ficedula albicollis (Collared flycatcher). RNAcentral describes it as "lncRNA (ENSFALG00000018173.2)". The record is from RNAcentral. Lineage: Eukaryota; Metazoa; Chordata; Aves; Passeriformes; Muscicapidae.